Molecule: long non-coding RNA, 787 nt
Organism: Cynoglossus semilaevis (tongue sole)
Lineage: Eukaryota; Metazoa; Chordata; Actinopteri; Pleuronectiformes; Cynoglossidae
Exons: 3
Source: RefSeq, a predicted model, not a curated record
CAAAAGAGCCAAAAUAGUGCGAGUGAAAAUGAAAUUAUUUGAGUGAGAAUGAAGUAAAAAGAGGUGGGAGUGGUCCUGCAUAAAAGUACUAAGUAAAAAGUUGUUCUGAAAACAUUGGUGUAUAAGGCAGGUCAUGGUCAAUAAGUUCUAAGAUUCACAGUUUACUGUGUUUUUGACACUUGAUUCCCUCAGGGAGAAAAUCUUCACCAAGAACAACAACAGCUGAACUGAACCCAAAACAAAAAAUUGUUAAAAACUAAAAAACCAUAGACCAGAAUGUAAACCAGUAUAUAUUAUUACUGAGGGUCUUUCUUGGUCUCCUCCCCCUGUGUCUCCAGGCUACAGACAUCCAUCACCGACCACAGUAGCACGAACCGUGAGGAUCCUUCACACGUUGCUGGCUCUCAUUAGCAAAAACCUCAAAUGUGACAAGUUUGAGGUCAACAUACAGAGCGUGGCCUAUCUGGCUGCGCUGCUCACCGUGUCUGAGGAGGUGCGGAGUCGUUGCAGUCUGAAACACAGGAAGUCACUUCUCAUCUCUGACCUGUCCAUGGACCCGGUUCCCAUGGAAACCUACUCCAGUCACAUUACUGACCCCAGCUGCAGAACCCUGAGAGAGACUCAGCCCUGGACUUCACCGCAGGUUUCGGACCGCUACCUGUCAGCCCACCCCUACCCCACAGUGGGCCAGAUCAGUCCACGGACACGGAAGUCCAUGAGUCUUGACAUGGGUCAGCCCUCACAGGCCAACACCAAGAAGCUUCUGGGUAUUUUUUCCUUAAACUCC